This 2294-nucleotide non-coding RNA is filed under the name Pongo abelii (Sumatran orangutan). Lineage: Eukaryota; Metazoa; Chordata; Mammalia; Primates; Hominidae. The record is from RNAcentral.
GAAAUGAGGGAGAAGGUGGAUGAGGGGCUCCUUCCUUUUGUCCUCAGAUGACCCAAGCCAAGUGCAGAAGGCGCGCCUCCUCCCAAAGCUCGGCUAGUCCCUCCACCAAAGCCAGGAUCAGAGCCCAUACCUGCCUGGCCAACCCCUGGCACUGAUGAUGCCUGGGUGCAGGUUAAGCUGGGAGGAGCUCCUGCCUGCCUAGAUGAAGAGGAGGUCAAGACUUUGUCCCCCACUCCCCAAGAUACCCCCUCUGUUCCAGAGCGGUGGGUCCCUCCCCUGUUAGGACCUUGUCUCCCUCAGGACUGGACCUGGAUCCUGGGCCUGCAGUCAGAUUGCCAGUCUCACUUAGAGGUGGUAAUGUCAACCCACUGGUUGGAAUGGGAAGGUGAGACGGGAUUUCACCAUGUUAGCCAGGAUGGUCUCGAUCUCCUGACCUCGUGAUCUGCCCACCUCGGCCUCCCAAAGUGCUGGGAUUACAGGCAUGAGCCACCGUGCCCGGCCAAAAAUAACUUUUAAAAACAUGAGUAUAGCAUACACACACACAAAAGUCCACAAAUCCUAAGUGUACCACUUGAUGAAUGAUCCCAAUGUGAGCACACCUCUGGAUUACCACCUGGAUCAAGAAAUAGGACAUCACAGCAGCUGGCAGCUUCCAAGGAGAAGCUCCGGAAACUUCUGCCUGUCUCAGCACCUGGCUGGAUCGGAAACGAGUUUUCUUUAACCAGAUUUUUAAUGACUGACUUAUGUGGACAAAUAAUAACUGAAUGAAUCACCUCCUUUGUUGAUUUUUUGGGUACUUUAUUUGCUAUUAUAAAUGAUGCUGUAAUAAGCACCCUUGAAGAAAUAUUCAUGUCUGCCUCUGCUGUGUAGCAGGUCACAGUGCCUGGGUUUGGUUCUAGCCCUCAUUUGUGAACUGUGUGACUCACCAUGCCUUUUUUCUUUCUGUAAGACGGGAAUAAUGGUAAGAAUUUAAAUGGGGGUAAUAUGGAGCACGUUUAGUUCAGAGCCUGGUGUGUACAAGCACUCAAUAAGUAUUGGUGAUUAUUAGACCUUUAGAUUAAUUUAUUAGAAGUUGGAUUUCUGGUGAAAGGUUUUGAGUGUUUUUAAGGCUUUGGCACAGAAUACCCAGCUGGUCCCAGAAAGGUGGUUCCCAUUUACCUGCCCGAAGUGCCUUCACCCUUACUGAUACUGGGUACUGUUUUCUAAAAGAACAUUAAAAGUUGGAUAGGUUAAAAACAAGUGAAUACAUUUUUUUAGUUGCAUAUUUUUGGUUACCCGUGAGAGUGAACAUGUUGCCUUGUGUUUGCUGACCUCCUAAAUGGUCUAUUUGCUCCUACCUUUGUACCCCAAAAGUCUGCUCUCAAGACAGUAGCCAGAAUGAUCCUUUUUGAGACAUAAGUCAAAAUUUCACUCUUCGGCUUAAAGCUCUGCAAUGGUUCUCAGGUUAAAAGCCAAAGUCCUGUUCAAGGCCUCCAGGGUCCUCACCACUUGGUCCCUUGCUCUUUCUGUUCUAGCCAACUUGGCCUUCUCCUGCCCCUCCGCCGCACCAUGGCAAUUUCCCCUGCUCUGUGUGGUCAACUACCUGAAUCUGUUCAAAGCUUUGCUCAGAUGUCUCCUUCCUGAUGAGACCUCCCCAGCCCCUGAGCUCCCCAUGCCUCACUCCUGAUCGCCUUACUUAACUCUUCUUUUUCUUUUUUGCCAAUAGUACUUAUCACCGUCUAAAAUACUUCAUAAUUGUUUAUUGUUUGCCUCUCUCCAAUAGAAUGUAAGCUCCUUGGGGAAGGGACCUUUGUCCUUUGUCUUGUUCACUGCUGUGUCCCAUGUGUAAACUUGUCUGGCACAGAAGAGGUGCUCGAUAAAUAUUUGUUGAGUGAAUGAAUUGUAAAUUUUCUGUUCAUAUUCUUUGACUAUUUUCUACUGUAAUGUUCAUCUUUUUAGUAUUGGUUUAUAAGAUGUAUAUUUAGCACCUUUUCAUAUAUCACUCUUUGUCACAUAUUAUAUAACUAAUUUGUCAUUUCCAUCAAUUUUUAAAAUUCUUGAUGCUUCAUUUUUAAGCUGUCAGAUUAUUAAUCUUUUCUUUAUGGCCUUGGACUUUAUUGUUGCAUAACCGCUGCCUUCACCAGGAACAUAUAAAUUUUCAAUUAAAUGUUCUUCUGAGAUUAUGAUUUCAUUUCACUUUUUAUAUUAAACACUUUAUUUUAUCUUCAUGUGUGGUGAGAGGUAAGAACAUAACUUUAAAGCAAAUUAACCAACUAUCCCCAAAUGAAUUAUAAACAAAUUAAUCAUUUUCCAAU